AACGAACGCUGGCGGCAUGCCUAACACAUGCAAGUCGAACGAGACCUUCGGGUCUAGUGGCGCACGGGUGCGUAACGCGUGGGAAUCUGCCCUUGGGUUCGGAAUAACUCGCCGAAAGGCGUGCUAAUACCGGAUGAUGUCGUAAGACCAAAGAUUUAUCGCCCAGGGAUGAGCCCGCGUAAGAUUAGGUAGUUGGUGAGGUAAAGGCUCACCAAGGCGACGAUGCGUAGCCGACCUGAGAGGGUGAUCGGCCACAUUGGGACUGAGACACGGCCCAG
RNAcentral lists this ribosomal RNA (278 nucleotides) under uncultured bacterium. RNAcentral describes it as "partial 16S ribosomal RNA". It matches the Rfam family "Bacterial small subunit ribosomal RNA", at positions 29 to 334 of the family's 1533-position model. The record is from RNAcentral.